RNAcentral lists this ribosomal RNA (493 nucleotides) under uncultured bacterium. RNAcentral describes it as "partial 16S ribosomal RNA". It matches the Rfam family "Bacterial small subunit ribosomal RNA", at positions 30 to 523 of the family's 1533-position model. The record is from RNAcentral.
AUUGAACGCUGGCGGCAUGCCUUACACAUGUAAGUCGAACGGUAACAGGUUAAGCUGACGAGUGGCGAACGGGUGAGUAAUAUAUCGGAACGUGCCCAGUCGUGGGGGAUAACUGCUCGAAAGAGCAGCUAAUACCGCAUACGACCUGAGGGUGAAAGCGGGGGAUCGCAAGACCUCGCGCGAUUGGAGCGGCCGAUAUCAGAUUAGGUAGUUGGUGGGGUAAGAGCCCACCAAGCCAACGAUCUGUAGCUGGUCUGAGAGGACGACCAGCCACACUGGGACUGAGACACGGCCCAGACUCCUACGGGAGGCAGCAGUGGGGAAUUUUGGACAAUGGGCGCAAGCCUGAUCCAGCCAUGCCGCGUGCGGGAAGAAGGCCUUCGGGUUGUAAACCGCUUUUGUCAGGGAAGAAAAGGUUCUGGUUAAUACCUGGGACUCAUGACGGUACCUGAAGAAUAAGCACCGGCUAACUACGUGCCAGCCGCCGCGGUAA